AUGAGCGUACGGACACUCCGUCCAAUCAUGAGACCGUCCACGCGUACACUUCCUCACCUUGAACUCAAAAAUCCGAAAAUGAUCGCAAGAAUAAGCAUCCACCGGAACGUCCGAUUCCCGUCCGGACAACUCCGAAUCAGAUUCAAUCUCCGACUCGUUCGUAUAUCGCUGAAGUGCCGCUAGGGCUUCCUGGAGAUAAUAAGGAGAAUAAUCACCGCCAUUGGCAUUGCCAUCAGAACUCACCGAGAUUCCACUCAGAGGAAAAGCAAACCGCGUCUCGCUUGCAGGAGGUUCCUCUGGUAUCGUUAAUGGAGUGAUGUGAACCACCGGACCAGGGCGGUGGCGUUCACUGAUAAUCAUAUCGUCAGCCGGAGAACACGGUGUAGGUUACGGUUACAG
This 399-nucleotide unclassified non-coding RNA is filed under the name Hevea brasiliensis (rubber tree). Lineage: Eukaryota; Viridiplantae; Streptophyta; Magnoliopsida; Malpighiales; Euphorbiaceae. The record is from RNAcentral.